Long non-coding RNA from Oncorhynchus keta (chum salmon), 1741 nucleotides. RefSeq lists it as uncharacterized. The record is from RefSeq and is a predicted model, not a curated record. The transcript is spliced from 3 exons. NCBI's taxonomy places the organism in Eukaryota, Metazoa, Chordata, Actinopteri, Salmoniformes, Salmonidae.
UGGUACUCAGGGCUCUAUUGUCCCUCCAUCAGGUCCUAAUGGCCUGGUACUCAGGGCUCUAUUGUCCCUCCAUCAGGUCACUAAUGGCCUGGUACUCAGGGCUCUAUUGUCCCUCCAUCAGGUCCUAAUGGCCUGGUACUCAGGGCUCUAUUGUCCCUCCAUCAGGUCACUAAUGGCCUGGUACUCAGGGCUCUAUUGUCCCUCCAUCAGGUCACUAAUGGCCUGGUACUCAGGGCUCUAUUGUCCCUCCAUCAGGUCACUAAUGGCCUGGUACUCAGGGCUCUAUUGUCCCUCCAUCAGGUCACUAAUGGCCUGGUACUCAGGGCUCUAUUGUCCCUCCAUCAGGUCCUAAUGGCCUGGUACUCAGGGCUCUAUUGUCCCUCCAUCAGGUCACUAAUGGCCUGGUACUCAGGGCUCUAUUGUCCCUCCAUCAGGUCACUAAUGGCCUGGUACUCAGGGCUCUAUUGUCCCUCCAUCAGGUCCUAAUGGCCUGGUACUCAGGGCUCUAUUGUCCCUCCAUCAGGUCCUAAUGGCCUGGUACUCAGGGCUCUAUUGUCCCUCCAUCAGGUCCUAAUGGCCUGGUACUCAGGGCUCUACUGUCCCUCCAUCAGGUCACUAAUGGCCUGGUACUCAGGGCUCUAUUGUCCCUCCAUCAGGUCCUAAUGGCCUGGUACUCAGGGCUCUAUUGUCCCUCCAUCAGGUCACUAAUGGCCUGGUACUCAGGGCUCUAUUGUCCCUCCAUCAGGUCCUAAUGGCCUGGUACUCAGGGCUCUAUUGUCCCUCCAUCAGGUCCUAAUGGCCUGGUACUCAGGGCUCUACUGUCCCUCCAUCAGGUCACUAAUGGCCUGGUACUCAGGGCUCUAUUGUCCCUCCAUCAGGUCCUAAUGGCCUGGUACUCAGGGCUCUAUUGUCCCUCCAUCAGGUCACUAAUGGCCUGGUACUCAGGGCUCUAUUGUCCCUCCAUCAGGUCCUAAUGGCCUGGUACUCAGGGCUCUAUUGUCCCUCCAUCAGGUCACUAAUGGCCUGGUACUCAGGGCUCUAUUGUCCCUCCAUCAGGUCACUAAUGGCCUGGUACUCAGGGCUCUAUUAUCCCUCCAUCAGGUCCUAAUGGCCUGGUACUCAGGGCUCUAUUGUCCCUCCAUCAGGUCCUAAUGGCCUGGUACUCAGGGCUCUACUGUCCCUGUAACCACUCUGACAUCAAUACAAAUGCCUUCGAAAAUCACAUCAAACACGGAUCAUCAAAACAGCCUAUAGUGCUUUUAAAACUCACCUCAUCUGUGAUGAUCAAUUUAAAGAAAGAAGUUCAACAGCAGGUUGAAACGGAGUGUAAAAUAAUAGUGGUUGUUUCAAAGCCUAACAACAAUGAAAAUGGGCCAGCGCUUUCUAAAGGGAUGAUUAAAACAACAAAACGCAUAUUAGAGUUAUUGGCUCAUGAACCUUCUUUAGACCGGACUGAAAUAAAACAUGGAUUUAAAUAAUGGAUAAUGGAGUAUAUAACAAUGGUUUAAUAUACUUUAAAAAUAAUAAAUGUAGAUGUUCCAUCAGCGUCUUGUAUGUGUAGAAACCUUGAGAUGCUAAACGUUUUAUAAAAAUGUUAAUUAACGGUUAAUUAGCGUGAUGCAAAAUGUCAUGAGUAUUUCCUGUGUGUGUCUACUUCCUGUGUGUGUGUGUGUGUGUCUACUUCCUGUGUGUGUGUGUGUGUCUACUUCCUGUGUGUGUGUGUGUGUGUGUGUGUGUGUGU